UCCCUGGUGGUUCAGUGGUUAGGACUCUGCACUUUCACUGCCAAGGGCACUGGUUCAAUCCCUGGUCAGGGAA
Molecule: transfer RNA, 73 nt
Filed under: Bos taurus (domestic cattle)
Lineage: Eukaryota; Metazoa; Chordata; Mammalia; Artiodactyla; Bovidae
Also listed under: 5 other names
Rfam family: tRNA
About the family: Transfer RNA (tRNA) molecules are approximately 80 nucleotides in length.
Source: Rfam by way of RNAcentral